GGGCGAACGCUGGCGGCGUGCUUAACACAUGCAAGUCGAGCGGUAAGGCCCUUUCGGGGGUACACGAGCGGCGAACGGGUGAGUAACACGUGGGUGACCUGCCCUCAGCUCUGGGAUAAGCCUGGGAAACCGGGUCUAAUACUGGAUAUGACUCCAUGACGCAUGUUGUGGGGUGGAAAGCCUUGUGCGGCUGAGGAUGGGCCCGCGGCCUAUCAGCUUGUUGGUGGGGUGA
Molecule: ribosomal RNA, 232 nt
Filed under: uncultured bacterium
Lineage: Bacteria
Description: partial 16S ribosomal RNA
Rfam family: Bacterial small subunit ribosomal RNA
Source: RNAcentral